Molecule: ribosomal RNA, 253 nt
Filed under: uncultured bacterium
Lineage: Bacteria
Description: partial 16S ribosomal RNA
Rfam family: Bacterial small subunit ribosomal RNA
Source: RNAcentral
UACAGAGGUCCCAAGCGUUGUUCGGAUUCACUGGGCGUAAAGGGUGCGUAGGCGGUUGGGUAAGUCUGUCGUGAAAUCUCCGAGCCUAACUCGGAAACUGCGUCGGAUACUAUUCAACUCGAGGAAUGGAGGGGAGACUGGAAUUCUCGGUGUAGCAGUGAAAUGCGUAGAUAUCCGGAGGAACACCAGUGGCGAAGGCGACACGCUGGGUCAUACCUGACACUAAAACGCGACAGCAUGGGGAGCGAACGGG